RNAcentral lists this ribosomal RNA (354 nucleotides) under uncultured microorganism. RNAcentral's name for it is "bacterial SSU rRNA". It matches the Rfam family "Bacterial small subunit ribosomal RNA", at positions 9 to 352 of the family's 1533-position model. The record is from RNAcentral.
GAGUUUGAUCGUGGCUCAGGAUGAACGCUGGCGGCGUGCCUAAUACAUGCAAGUCGAACGAACAGAUAAGGAGCUUGCUCCUUUGACGUUAGCGGCGGACGGGUGAGUAACACGUGGGUAACCUACCUAUAAGACUGGAAUAACUCCGGGAAACCGGGGCUAAUGCCGGAUAACAUGUUGAACCGCAUGGUUCUACAGUGAAAGACGGUCUUGCUGUCACUUAUAGAUGGACCCGCGCCGUAUUAGCUAGUGGUGGGGUAACGGCCUACCAAGGCGACGAUACGUAGCCGACCUGAGAGGGUGAUCGGCCACACUGGAACUGAGACACGGUCCAGUACUCCUACGGGAGGCAGC